Molecule: unclassified non-coding RNA, 271 nt
Filed under: Hevea brasiliensis (rubber tree)
Lineage: Eukaryota; Viridiplantae; Streptophyta; Magnoliopsida; Malpighiales; Euphorbiaceae
Source: RNAcentral
GGUGGAUGCUUUCUUUGGUUUUUUUGGGCCUGUUGUUGACAAAAACAAGUAAACGUACCCUGGAUCUUUAGCUUACUGUAAAUUCUUUUAGUUGGGAGGCAAUAUCUCAAAGCAUGAAUGAAAAAUGGAAUUAUGUUGCAGUAAAUGUCUGAGGUGCCCACAUUCUUGUUUUCUGGACUUUUUUGGGACUUCCCUUAGAUUUUGAUAAAUAGCUAAUUGUAAAUGGUUUUUACUUGGAUUGUUGACUUCUACAUUCUAGAAACUGCCUUAA